Molecule: transfer RNA, 72 nt
Organism: Ovis aries (sheep)
Lineage: Eukaryota; Metazoa; Chordata; Mammalia; Artiodactyla; Bovidae
Rfam family: tRNA
About the family: Transfer RNA (tRNA) molecules are approximately 80 nucleotides in length. Their secondary structure includes four short double-helical elements and three loops (D, anti-codon, and T loops).
Source: Rfam
UCCCAGGUAGUUCAGUGGGUAAAGAAUCUGCCUGCAAUGCAGGAGACCUGGGUUCGAUCCCUGGGUUGGGAA